UACGUAGGGUGCGAGCGUUGUCCGGAAUUAUUGGGCGUAAAGAGCACGUAGGCGGUUGAGCAAGUCCAUUGUGAAAUCCCCCGGCCUAACCGGGGAACUGCAUUGGAUACUACUUGACUUGAGUGCAGGAGGGGAGAGUGGAAUUCCAGGUGGAGCGGUGAAAUGCGCAGAUAUCAGGAAGAACACCCGUGGCUAAGGCGGCUCUCUAGUACGGUACUGACGCUGAGACGCGAAAGCGUGGGGAGCGAACAGG
RNAcentral lists this ribosomal RNA (253 nucleotides) under uncultured bacterium. Its description in RNAcentral is "partial 16S ribosomal RNA". It matches the Rfam family "Bacterial small subunit ribosomal RNA", at positions 524 to 776 of the family's 1533-position model. The record is from RNAcentral.